RNAcentral lists this non-coding RNA (27 nucleotides) under Rattus norvegicus (Norway rat). Lineage: Eukaryota; Metazoa; Chordata; Mammalia; Rodentia; Muridae. The record is from RNAcentral.
GUCAGACUAAAGUCUGGUAGGGGCCAU